GAUGAACGCUGGCGGCGUGCCUAAUACAUGCAAGUCGAGCGAACAGACGAGGCGCUUGCUCCUCUGACGUGAGCGGCAGGCGGGUGAGUAACACGUGGAUAACCUACCUAUAAGUCUGGGAAAACCUCGGAAAACCGGCGCAUAUACCGGAUAAUAUAUUGAACCGCGUGGGUGAAUAGUGAGAGACGGUUGUGCUGUCACGAAUAGAUGGAUCCGCGCCGGAUUAGCUAGUUGGUAAGGUCACGGCUUACCAAGGCUACGAGGCGUAACCGAGCGCAGAGGGUGGUCGCCCACACUAGAGCGGAGACAGGGACAAGACUCCUACGGGAGGGAGCAGUAGGGAACCGGACGCAAUGGGGGAAAGUAUUACGGAGCAAGGCCGCGUCAGAGACGACGGUCCCCGGAGCGUAAAACCCUGCUAUUGGUGAAGAACCACUGUCUAAGUAGAUAUGCCCGUCUUGACGGUAAUGAAUAAGAAAGCCACGGCUAACUACGUG
This 497-nucleotide ribosomal RNA is filed under the name uncultured bacterium. RNAcentral's name for it is "partial 16S ribosomal RNA". It matches the Rfam family "Bacterial small subunit ribosomal RNA", at positions 28 to 507 of the family's 1533-position model. The record is from RNAcentral.